Molecule: ribosomal RNA, 484 nt
Filed under: uncultured bacterium
Lineage: Bacteria
Description: partial 16S ribosomal RNA
Rfam family: Bacterial small subunit ribosomal RNA
Source: RNAcentral
AUUGUCCUCCGGCCGCAGGCUUUCCACAUUCAAUUCGAGCGGAUGAAGGGAGCUUGCUCCUGGAUUCCACGGCGGACGGGUGAGGAAUGCCUAGGAAUCUGCCUGGUAGUGGGGGAUAACGUCCCGGCACGGGCGCUCAUACCGCAUACGUCCCGCGGGAGAACGAGGGGGCCUUCCUGACCCCACGCUAUCCGCUUAGCCUAGGUCGGCUUAGCUAGUCGGUGGGGUAAAGGCCUCCCAAGGCGACUAUCCGUAACUGGUCUGAGAGGAUGAUCAGUCACACUAGAACUGAGACACGGUCCAGACUCCUACGGGAGGCAGCAGUGGGGAAUAUUCGACGAUGGGCGAAAGCCUGAUCCAGCCAUGCCGCGUGUGUGAAGAAGGUCUUCGGAUUGUAAAGCACGUUAAGUUGGGAGGAAGGGCAGUAAGUUAAUACCUUGCUGUUUUGACGUUACCAACAGAAUAAGCAACGGCUAACUACGUG